Molecule: long non-coding RNA, 1614 nt
Filed under: Homo sapiens (human)
Lineage: Eukaryota; Metazoa; Chordata; Mammalia; Primates; Hominidae
Description: non-protein coding lnc-MTHFSD-7:1
Source: RNAcentral
GAUGGCGGUUCCACCAGGCCUAAUCGCCACACACCAGCAAAGGCAGGUUAUGCUAUAGUACAAGCCACUAGCCAGCCUCUUAGAACCUCUCAUUUCUUUUCCAUCGUGGAAAUCUAUCCUCAAGAAAAUAACUUCUCAGUGUUCCAUCUGCUAUUCUAUUACUCCUCAGGGAUUAUUCAGGCCCCCUCCCUUCCCUACACAUCAAGCUCGAGGAUUUGCCCCACCCAGGACUGGCAAAUUAGCUUUACUCAACAUGCCCUGAGUCAGAUAACUAAAAUACCUCUUAGUCUAGGGAGAUGCUUUCACUGGAUAGGUAGAGGCCUUUCCUACAGGGUCUGAGAAGGCCAUCGCAGUCAUUUCUUCCAUUCUGUCAGACAUAAUUCCUCAGUUUAGCCUUCCCACCUCAAUACAGUCUGACAACAGAUGAGCCUUUAUUAGUCAAAUCAGCCAAGCAGUUUUUCAGGCUCUUAGUAUUCAGUGAAACCUUUAUAUCCCUUACGGUCCUCCGAAAAGUAGAAUGGACUAAAGGUCUUUUAAAAACACACCUCACCAAGCUCAGCCACCAACUUAAAAAGGACUGGACAAUACUUUUACCACUUUCCCUUCUCAGAAUUCAGGCCUGUCCUCGGAAUGCUACAGGGUACCGCCCAUUUAAGCUCCUGUAUAGACGCUCCUUUUUAUUAGGCCCCAGUCUCAUUCCAGACACCAGACCAACUUAGACUGUGCCCCAAAAAAACUUGUCAUCCCUACUAUCUUCUGUCUAGCCAUACUCCUAUUCACCGUUCUCAACUACUCAUACAUGCCCUGCUCUUGUUUACACUGCCGGUUUACACUGUUUCUUCAAGCCAUCACAGCUGAUAUCUCCUGGUGCUAUCCCCAAACUGCCACUCUUAACUCUUGAAGUAAAUAAAUAAUCUUUGCUGGCAGGACUAUGCUGAAUCUCCUUAGGCGCUCUCUAAUCAGAUGUCCUGAGACAUCCCAAUUCUUAGACCUUUUAUACCUGUUUUUCUCCUUCUCUUAUUCCAUUUAGUUUCUCAAUUCAUCCAAAACCGUAUCCAGGCCAUCACCAAUCAUUCUAUACGACAAAUGUUUCUUCUAACAUGCUUGAAGCAGCCCUGAGAAACAUCGCCCGUUCUCUCUCCAUACCACCCCCCAAAAAUUUUCACCGCCCCAACACUUCAACACUAUUUUGUUUUAUUUGUCUUAUUAAGAAGGCAGGAAUGUCAGGCCUCUGAGCCCAAGCCAAGCCAUCGCAUCCCCUGUGACCUGCACGUAUAUAUACGCCCAGAUGGCCUGAAGUAACUAAAGAAUCACAAAAGAAGUGAAUAUGCCCUGCCCCACCUUAACUGAUGACAUUCCACCACAAAAGAAGUGUAAAUGGCCGGUCCUUGCCUUAACUGAUGACAUUACCUUGGGAAAGUCCUUUUCCUGGCUCAUCCUUGCUCCAAAAGCACCCCCACUGAGCAUCUUGCGACCCCGACUCCUGCCCGCCAGAGAACAAACCCCCUUUGUAAUUUUCCUUUACCUACCCAAAUCCUAUAAAACGGCCCCACCCUUAUCUCCCUUCGCUGACUCUUUUCGGACUCAGCCCACCUGCACCCAGGUGAAAUAAAC